UUAUCCUAUAUUCUUGCGCAAGAAUCUUUUUGGACGCACAAGUAGUUCUAUAGAGUUUACUACAUCCUUUGAUGUUUUAAUCCAUGAAAUACAGACCUGUAUCUAUUUGUUUUGGACUGUGUUCCGGAGAAAGAAAUGUAGUUUGGUUAUGUGGUUUUACAGACCUGUAUCUAUUUGUGUAAUGCAUUUGCCUGUAUAUGUGCAGCUUAUGUCCAUAAUUCUUCAAGUCUACAUAUGACUGCAUCAUUCUUCAGCCUUCUAGACUCCUUCCACUUCUGCCCCCUCGGAUACAAGGACUUCCCAGACUUAGGUAACACAACCUCUUCUCUUCUUUCAACAUGUUGUCAUGUGGUGCUUGAGUUAUGGUACAACUAGAGUUGGGUGAAAGCGACAUGGAGCCUUGAAGUGGAGAGUUGAGCUCAUGAAGCAGGACAAGAGAGCCAAGGUGUUGUGCCUUCAUGGCUUCUGCACGAGCGAGAGUUUUUUGAAGAGUAGAUCAACAACUUGCACUCUUCCACUCGUUAUGGAUAUGGGUAUUGCGAUGAGGCCUCAUGAGCUAUUUGAAAACAUUUAUGUAUAGUUGUAUACUAAUUUAUGUUUUAUAGUUGAGGCUAUCUAAUAUAUUGAAA
Molecule: long non-coding RNA, 629 nt
Organism: Zea mays
Lineage: Eukaryota; Viridiplantae; Streptophyta; Magnoliopsida; Poales; Poaceae
Exons: 3
Source: RefSeq, a predicted model, not a curated record